AAUGUAUUAAAAACCAUGUAUAUAAAUAAUGCACUUUACAAUGAAAGUUUGUCAGACCUGUUGUGUGAAUUCAUGGAUGACAUUAUCUAAGUCUGGACUGCAACUGCCACAGUUACUCUGGCUCCUUAUCAAUGAGAUUCAGGACUUCUCCUUGAACAUGAUAGUCAUGUGCUGAAGAUUGUAUCAUGGAAAUGAGUUGACUUUAAUUUGUAUAUGAGCAGUUUGUGAUCUGUUCCACGGUCAUAUCUUUGCUAUUAUAACUGAGCUGUUCACCUCCUUGCACCAAUAAUAUGAUCAGUUUGGUUUCUGUCUCUCCAUCUGGCAGUAUCCACCUUUAUAGGCAUUGUUUUGUCAUAAUUAUAGAAAUCAUUUUGAUUGUUUGAAUAAUGUGUUAGGAAUGAAUAAACAAUUGGAUUGGUAUAAAUUA
This is a long non-coding RNA of Protobothrops mucrosquamatus (brown spotted pit viper), 427 nucleotides long. RefSeq lists it as uncharacterized. NCBI's taxonomy places the organism in Eukaryota, Metazoa, Chordata, Lepidosauria, Squamata, Viperidae. The record is from RefSeq and is a predicted model, not a curated record. The transcript is spliced from 2 exons.